RNAcentral lists this ribosomal RNA (433 nucleotides) under uncultured bacterium. Its description in RNAcentral is "partial 16S ribosomal RNA". It matches the Rfam family "Bacterial small subunit ribosomal RNA", at positions 29 to 507 of the family's 1533-position model. The record is from RNAcentral.
AACGAACGCUGGCGGCAGGCCUAACACAUGCAAGUCGAGCGAGGACUUCGGUCCUAGCGGCGGACGGGUGAGUAACGCGUGGGAACGUGCCCUUUGCUUCGGAAUAGCCCUGGGAAACUGGGAGUAAUACCGGAUGAGCCCUUUGGGGGAAAGAUUUAUCGGCGAAGGAUCGGCCCGCGUUGGAUCAGGUAGUUGGUGGGGUAAUGGCCUACCAAGCCGACGAUCCAUAGCUGGUUUGAGAGGAUGAUCAGCCACACUGGGACUGAGACACGGCCCAGACUCCUACGGGAGGCAGCAGUGGGGAAUCUUAGACAAUGGGGGAAACCCUGAUCGAGCCAUGCCGCGUGAGCGAUGAAGGCCUUAGGGUUGUAAAGCUCUUUCAGCUGGGAAGAUAAUGACGGUACCAGCAGAAGAAGCCCCGGCUAACUCCGUG